This 253-nucleotide ribosomal RNA is filed under the name uncultured bacterium. RNAcentral's name for it is "partial 16S ribosomal RNA". It matches the Rfam family "Bacterial small subunit ribosomal RNA", at positions 524 to 776 of the family's 1533-position model. The record is from RNAcentral.
UCCGUAGGGUGCAAGCGUUGUCCGGAAUUAUUGGGCGUAAAGAGCUCGUAGGCGGUUUGUCGCGUCUGCUGUGAAAACUCGGGGCUUAACUCCGGGCCUGCAGUGGGUACGGGCAGACUAGAGUGCGGUAGGGGAGACUGGAAUUCCUGGUGUAGCGGUGAAAUGCGCAGAUAUCAGGAGGAACACCGGUGGCGAAGGCGGGUCUCUGGGCCGUAACUGACGCUGAGGAGCGAAAGCGUGGGGAGCGAACAGG